Danio rerio (zebrafish) is the source of this 73-nucleotide non-coding RNA. The record is from Rfam. NCBI's taxonomy places the organism in Eukaryota, Metazoa, Chordata, Actinopteri, Cypriniformes, Danionidae.
GCCUGGAUAGGUCAGUCGGUAGAGCAUCAGACUUUUAAUCUGAGGGUCCAGGGUUCCAGUCCCUCUUCAGGCG